This 497-nucleotide ribosomal RNA is filed under the name uncultured bacterium. Its description in RNAcentral is "partial 16S ribosomal RNA". It matches the Rfam family "Bacterial small subunit ribosomal RNA", at positions 28 to 507 of the family's 1533-position model. The record is from RNAcentral.
GAUGAACGCUGGCGGCGUGCCUAAUACAUGCAAGUCGAGCGAACGGACGAGAAGCUUGCUUUUCUGAUGUUAGCGGCGGACGGGUGAGUAACACGUGGAUAACCUACCUAUAAGACUGGGAUAACUUCGGGAAACCGGAGCUAAUACCGGAUAAUAUUUUGAACCGCAUGGUUCAAAAGUGAACGACGGUCUUGCUGUCACUUAUAGAUGGAUCCGCGCUGCAUUAGCUAGUUGGUAAGGUAACGGCUUACCAAGGCAACGAUGCAUAGCCGACCUGAGAGGGUGAUCGGCCACACUGGAACUGAGACACGGUCCAGACUCCUACGGGAGGCAGCAGUAGGGAAUCUUCCGCAAUGGGCGAAAGCCUGACGGAGCAACGCCGCGUGAGUGAUGAAGGUCUUCGGAUCGUAAAACUCUGUUAUUAGGGAAGAACAUAUGUGUAAGUAACUGUGCACAUCUUGACGGUACCUAAUCAGAAAGCCACGGCUAACUACGUG